Molecule: long non-coding RNA, 288 nt
Organism: Hyla sarda
Lineage: Eukaryota; Metazoa; Chordata; Amphibia; Anura; Hylidae
Exons: 3
Source: RefSeq, a predicted model, not a curated record
GUUUAAUGGUAAAGAAUUGUCGCUGGAAGAAAUUGUCAUGAUGGCUGGGCCAGAUGGAGAAGAAAAGGGAACAACGCUGAUUAGAGAAGAUUUCAUUUAGGAUCAGAAUCCGCUGACAUAGUGAGGAGCCAUCUGGGCGUCAAGUUCUGCAGGGAGAACAUUUAGCUGGAACAAGUCCUGGCGUCAUUUUCUACACAAGCCAGAAGCAAAGUAAAUUGCUGUCUUUAAAAUAUCUGAGAAACCUGAGCGAAAACAAUCAAAAUGUUGCAUCUACUCAGGAUGGAGUUG